CCUACUGGUGACAUCAUUAGGGCAUAUUGCUCAAUGGGGGAAACCCUGAAGCAUCCCCCUCUCUUUUCGUCUUCCUUUUUUCCUCUUUUUCCCUCCUUUUUUUCUCUUCGAUUAUGACGGUAUCUAACGAAUAAGCACCGGCUAACUCCGUGCCAGCAGCCGCGGUAAUACGGAGGGUGCAAGCGUUACUCGGAAUCACUGGGCGUAAAGAGUGCGUAGGCGGGGUAAUAAGUCAGAUGUGAAAUCCUGUAGCUUAACUACAGAACUGCAUUUGAAACUGUUACUCUGGAGUGUGGGAGGGGUAGGUGGAAUUCUUGGUGUAGGGGUAAAAUCCGUAGAGAUCAAGAGGAAUACUCAUUGCGAAGGCGAGCGGCUGGAACAUUACUGACGCUGAUGCACGAAAGCGUGGGGAGCAAACAGGAUUAGAUACCAGUGUAGUC
Molecule: ribosomal RNA, 440 nt
Filed under: uncultured bacterium
Lineage: Bacteria
Description: partial 16S ribosomal RNA
Rfam family: Bacterial small subunit ribosomal RNA
Source: RNAcentral